Molecule: long non-coding RNA, 1209 nt
Filed under: Sinocyclocheilus grahami
Lineage: Eukaryota; Metazoa; Chordata; Actinopteri; Cypriniformes; Cyprinidae
Description: lncRNA (ENSSGRG00000005441.1)
Source: RNAcentral
GUGUAGACAAAACAGUUGAAACAAUGUUAAAAACAUCUGCAGAAGAAAGAUAGUCAUGAGGGUGAGUAAAGGAGUAAAAGGUGACAAUUUAAAUGUUUUGGAUGAAAUAUUCCUUUAAGUGUCAUCCUUUCACUGAAAAAGAUAUUGUUCUUGGCAUAAUGUUGCUAUGCAACAAAUACAAUGAGUCCAGCACAAUGAUUUGACAAACCAUUUGUUUUAAUGCAAUGUUACUAUAUUGUGAAUUUUAGCAUGAUAGCUGAUGAAAAAUUGUCUUGAUCAGUCAGAAGCAAUGACCUUGACUAAUUGUUUUAUAUAAUUGUUCUGUACACGUUCCACCUUUUCCAAUAGCGUUUUCGAAAAUUCGGUCAGCAGAGUCCAUCCGUCUUGGAUAUGGUGAAGAAUGAAAAUUCCUACCAUGAAGUGUUCCAGAGCCAUUUCAGGAGAAAGUUCUGAAAGGCUGCAUUCAGAAAUGUCUCAGAACAUUAGGGAUGAAGCUCUAUGCAAGUGUGUACAUUACCUGACCAACAACUACCAGCAUUGUUUCUGAAGCUCUGCCACACCCUCACGUUGCCCAGGGCUCUAUGGGUCACCCUAUCCCACUGUCCUCAUCCAAGACAAAGACUUCUUCAGAAUCCCUCAUUGUAUGACACAAGGUAUAGGUCUCAGUUUUCUUGUUAGAUUUGGGAGGUGUGGCCUUAGAGGAUGUUUUUGCCAACAGGCAGCAUCAGCACAUCUAAAAACAAUAGCUAACUGCCAUUGUCAUAUGUGUGUGUGUUCGAAUGUCUGAGUGUGUCUGUUCAAAGAUGCCUUUAAAUAACCACUUACUGAGCGUUUGCCUUCUGAAAUUCAUGAUUGUCUAAAGCAAAGACAGUAAAACAAGUCAUUUGCAACCAUUACAUAUCUCUUUGUGUGCUAUAAGGGUCUUGGUAAAUGAAGUAAAUCAGUCGUUUAAGCAGCUGGCAUCUCAACUACUUUAUUGUUUUUCUGAGUAAAUUCAUCUGUGUUGAUGUGCAAAUAAGUUUGCUGUGUUUUCCCAUGACAGUCGUCUGUAUGUACAUGUUCCUCUGUGUGUGUGUGUGUGUGUGUGUGUGUGUGUGUGUGUGUUCAGGGACAUGUCAGGUGUUUACACACACUGUAGAUGCAGUGACUUUGGUGCCUCCAGUGGUAGAUUUAUGACGGUGUCUUUUAAAAAGUGAUUGCAGACACAUA